GACGAACGCUGGCGGCGUGCUUAACACAUGCAAGUCGAGCGGUAAGGCCCUUUCGGGGGUACGACGAGCGGCGAACGGGUGAGUAACACGUGGGUGACCUGCCCUCAGCUCUGGGAUAAGCCUGGGAAACCGGGUCUAAUACCGGAUAUGACUCCAUGACGCAUGUUGUGGGGUGGAAAGCCUUGUGCGGCUGAGGAUGGGCCCGCGGCCUAUCAGCUUGUUGGUGGGGUGAUGGCCUACCAAGGCGACGACGGGUAGCCGGCCUGAGAGGGCGACCGGCCACACUGGGACUGAGACACGGCCCAGACUCCUACGGGAGGCAGCAGUGGGGAAUCUUGCGCAAUGGGCGAAAAGCCUGACGCAGCGACGCCGCGUGAGGGAUGACGGCCUG
This 391-nucleotide ribosomal RNA is filed under the name uncultured bacterium. RNAcentral's name for it is "bacterial SSU rRNA". It matches the Rfam family "Bacterial small subunit ribosomal RNA", at positions 28 to 418 of the family's 1533-position model. The record is from RNAcentral.